AUAUGGUAGGAGAGCGUUCUGUAAGCCUGCGAAGGUGUCUUGUAAAGGAUGCUGGAGGUAUCAGAAGUGCGAAUGCUGACAUGAGUAGCGAUAAUGGGGGUGAAAAGCCUCCACGCCGUAAGCCCAAGGUUUCCUGUUCAACGUUCAUCGGAGCAGGGUGAGUCGGCCCCUAAGGCGAGGCAGAGAUGCGUAGCUGAUGGGAAGCAGGUUAAUAUUCCUGCACCGUCGUAUGAUGCGAUGGGGGGACGGAUCGCGGAAGGUUGUCUGACUGUUGGAAUAGUCAGUUUCUGUCUCAUAGAAGGCGCUUAGGCAAAUCCGGGCGCGGAAUUCAAGGGGAUGGGACGAGUGCACUUGUGCACGAAGCAAUCGGAAGUGGUUCCAAGAAAAGCCUCUAAGCUUCAGUCAUACGAGACCGUACCGCAAACCGACACAGGUGGGCGAGAUGAGUAUUCUAAGGCGCUUGAGAGAACUCGGGAGAAGGAACUCGGCAAAUUGGUACCGUAACUUCGGGAAAAGGUACGCCCCGGUAGCUUGAUUGGUUUACUCCAUGAGGGUGAAAGGGUUGCAAUAAACUGGUGGCUGCGACUGUUUAAUAAAAACACAGCACUCUGCAAACACGAAAGUGGACGUAUAGGGUGUGACGCCUGCCCGGUGCUGGAAGAUUAAAUGAUGGGGUGCAAGCUCUUGAUUGAAGUCCCAGUAAACGGCGGCCGUAACUAUAACGGUCCUAAGGUAGCGAAAUUCCUUGUCGGGUAAGUUCCGACCUGCACGAAUGGCGUAACGAUGGCCACACUGUCUCCUCCCGAGACUCAGCGAAGUUGAAAUGUUUGUGAUGAUGCAAUCUACCCGCGGCUAGACGGAAAGACCCCAUGAACCUUUACUGUAGCUUUGCAUUGGACUUUGAACCAAUCUGUGUAGGAUAGGUGGGAGGCUUUGAAGCGGGGACGCUAGUUCUCGUGGAGCCAACCUUGAAAUACCACCCUGGUUUGUUUGAGGUUCUAACCUUGGUCCGUUAUCCGGAUCGGGGACAGUGCAUGGUAGGCAGUUUGACUGGGGCGGUCUCCUCCUAAAGUGUAACGGAGGAGUUCGAAGGUACGCUAGAUACGGUCGGACAUCGUGUUGAUAGUGCAAUGGCAUAAGCGUGCUUAACUGCGAGACUGACAAGUCGAGCAGGUACGAAAGUAGGACAUAGUGAUCCGGUGGUUCUGUAUGGAAGGGCCAUCGCUCAACGGAUAAAAGGUACUCUGGGGAUAACAGGCUGAUUCCUCCCAAGAGUUCAUAUCGACGGGGGAGUUUGGCACCUCGAUGUCGGCUCAUCACAUCCUGGGGCUGUAGCCGGUCCCAAGGGUAUGGCUGUUCGCCAUUUAAAGUGGUACGUGAGCUGGGUUUAAAACGUCGUGAGACAGUUUGGUCCCUAUCUGCCGUGGGCGUUGGAAAUUUGAAGGGGGCUGCUCCUAGUACGAGAGGACCGGAGUGGACGAACCUCUGGUGUACCGGUUGUCACGCCAGUGGCAUUGCCGGGUAGCUAAGUUCGGAAGAGAUAACCGCUGAAAGCAUCUAAGCGGGAAACUUGCCUUGAGAUGAGAUUUCCCAGAGCCUUGAGCUCUUUGAAGGGUCGUUCGAGACCAGGACGUUGAUAGGCUGGGUGUGGAAGUGCAGUAAUGCAUUAAGCUAACCAGUACUAAUUGCCCGUACGGCUUGUCCCUAUAACCUUAGCAGGU
Molecule: ribosomal RNA, 1721 nt
Filed under: Janthinobacterium lividum
Lineage: Bacteria; Pseudomonadati; Pseudomonadota; Betaproteobacteria; Burkholderiales; Oxalobacteraceae
Description: partial 23S ribosomal RNA
Rfam family: Bacterial large subunit ribosomal RNA
Source: RNAcentral